CAGCAGCCACGGGAAUACGAAGGGGGCUAGCGUUGUUCGGAUUUACUGGGCGUAAAGCGCACGUAGGCGGAUUGGUAAGUUAGGGGUGAAAUCCUGGAGCUCAACUCCAGAACUGCCUUUAAUACUGCCAAUCUCGAGUCCGGAAGAGGUAAGUGGAACUCCUAGUGUAGAGGUGGAAUUCGUAGAUAUUUGGAAGAACACCAGUGGCGAAGGCGGCUUACUGGUCCGGUACUGACGCUGAGGUGCGAAAGCGUGGGUAGCAAACAGGAUUAGAUACCCGGGUAGUCCCUGUCUCUUAUAC
RNAcentral lists this ribosomal RNA (301 nucleotides) under uncultured bacterium. Its description in RNAcentral is "partial 16S ribosomal RNA". It matches the Rfam family "Bacterial small subunit ribosomal RNA", at positions 509 to 807 of the family's 1533-position model. The record is from RNAcentral.